Molecule: long non-coding RNA, 435 nt
Organism: Lolium rigidum
Lineage: Eukaryota; Viridiplantae; Streptophyta; Magnoliopsida; Poales; Poaceae
Exons: 6
Source: RefSeq, a predicted model, not a curated record
CCCCUCGAGCUCGUGCCGAUUCACGUCCUGCGGCCCCUCGUCGAGCUUGUUGUCGUCUUGCGAGCCCAGGUUGAUGCUGAAUUGCUUCAGAAUCAAUUACAUACGUAUGCUUCCACAUGAUUGAUGAUGUGCCCACAGGAGAGGCUCCGAAAGUUGAUGGUGGAAGGGCUGCUUGAAUCAGAUGCUAGAUAGUUGCAGUCUUCUACGGAAAACGGUUCCUACUGUAAAAUGAAAUUCUUGAGCGAUAGGUUGUAGUCGUGUUUGCUGUUAUUCCUUUACCAUCUGCGGGAGGUGCUGCAAUAUAUCAAGGUGCAGCUGUUCCAUGAUCCCCAGUUCGACGGCGAGCUUGAAUAGCCGGCCCAGCACUAUGCACUGUGUGUACAAGCAAGGUAUGGAUUGAAGCAAAAGUCCCUAAACAAGCAACAAGUGAUGACA